CCCUCCUCCUCCCGCGACCCAACCGACCUGCGCGCGCCUCAGGCCCCGCAGCCGAGCGCCGAGCGGCCGAUCCGUCGCUUGUGUCUCCACCCGCAGUUGUGUAAGAAAGCCCAUAGCCCGCCAUGGAGCGUGCCUUUACCCCGCUGGAGCCCCUGCUACCCACGGGAAAUUUGAAAUACUGCCUCGUGGUUCUUAAUCAGCCUUUGGACACACGCUUUCGUCAUCUUUGGGAAAAAGGGUGUGUUAAUUGCUAAAUGAUGUGGAAGGCCCAGCCAGCCACUGCCAUCCCCGGCCAGGUAGGUCUACUCCAUCUAAGAAUGGUAGCUGAAUGUUGAGUCGAUUGAGCCAGCAAGCAGUGUUUCUUGUGGUCUCAGCUUCAGUUACAAAUUCUAGGUUCCUGUCUUAGCUUCCUUGAUGGUAGACUGAAACCUUUAAGCCAGUUAACCCCCCCCCAACUGUGUUGAUUUUGGUCAGGGUCUUCAUCAAAGCGACAGAGAGCAAACUACAGUAGACUGCUUGUGGCAUGUGACAUCUCCCUCGCCAGCAGUCAUCGUUCCCUCUUUAGGACUUUCAGAAGUGGCAGUAGUUGAUGUCACGGGACUCUUGCUCUAGCCUCCCCUUUCUCUCUCUGUGUUUGUAAUCUCCGUUGGAAGAAUUCAGAGGACACACAGAACAUAAGGUGAUGUAGGUAAGGUUCAUUGCAGAGUAAAGUGCAGCAUUCCCAAAGGA
Mesocricetus auratus (golden hamster) is the source of this 729-nucleotide long non-coding RNA. RefSeq lists it as uncharacterized. The record is from RefSeq and is a predicted model, not a curated record. NCBI's taxonomy places the organism in Eukaryota, Metazoa, Chordata, Mammalia, Rodentia, Cricetidae. The transcript is spliced from 4 exons.